AUUGAACGCUGGCGGCAGGCCUAACACAUGCAAGUCGAGCGGAUGAAGGGAGCUUGCUCCUGGAUUCAGCGGCGGACGGGUGAGUAAUGCCUAGGAAUCUGCCUGGUAGUGGGGGAUAACGUCCGGAAACGGGCGCUAAUCCCGCAUCCGUCCUGAGGGAGAAAGUGGGGGAUCUUCGGACCUCACGCUAUCAGCUGAGCCUAGGUCGGAUUAGCUAGUUGGUGGGGUAAAGGCCUACCAAGGCGACGAUCCGUAACUGGUCUGAGAGGAUGAUCAGUCACACUGGAACUGAGACACGGUCCAGACUCCUACGGGAAGCAGCAGUGGGGAAUAUUGGACAAUGGGCGAAAGCCUGAUCGAGCCAUGCCGCGUGUAGGAAGAAGGUCUUCGGAUUGUAAAGCACUUUAAGUUGGGAGGAAGGACAGUAAGUUAAUACCUUGCUGUUUUGACGUUACCAACAGAAUAAGCACCGGCUAACUUCGUG
This 484-nucleotide ribosomal RNA is filed under the name uncultured bacterium. Its description in RNAcentral is "partial 16S ribosomal RNA". It matches the Rfam family "Bacterial small subunit ribosomal RNA", at positions 30 to 507 of the family's 1533-position model. The record is from RNAcentral.